RNAcentral lists this ribosomal RNA (484 nucleotides) under uncultured bacterium. Its description in RNAcentral is "partial 16S ribosomal RNA". It matches the Rfam family "Bacterial small subunit ribosomal RNA", at positions 30 to 507 of the family's 1533-position model. The record is from RNAcentral.
AUUGAACGCUGGCGGAAUGCUUUACACAUGCAAGUCGAACGGCAGCACGGGGGCAACCCUGGUGGCGAGUGGCGAACGGGUGAGUAAUACAUCGGAACGUGCCCGGUCGUGGGGGAUAACUUAGCGACAGUUACGCUAAUACCGCAUACGAUCUGAGGAUGAAAGCGGGGGACCUUCGGUCCUCGCGCGUUCGGAUCGCCCGAUGUCCGAUUAGGUAGUUGGUUGGGUAAAGGCCUACCAAGCCGACGAUCUGUAGCUGGUCUGAGAGGACGACCAGCCACACUGGGACUGAGACACGGCCCAGACUCCUACGGGAGGCAGCAGUGGGGAAUUUUGGACAAUGGGCGCAAGCCUGAUCCAGCCAUUCCGCGUGCAGGACGAAGGCCUUCGGGUUGUAAACUGCUUUUGUAUGGAACGAAAAGGCUCUGGCUAAUACCUGGGGCUCAUGACGGUACCGUAAGAAUAAGCACCGGCUAACUACGUG